GUGCAUGACCACGUCUUCGGCCCGAAUGCCUCGACCCCAAAGGUGUUCCUCGUACCUCGACGAUGACCCCAGGGCAGGCGGGAUCACCCACUGAGUUUAAGCAUAUCAAUAAGUGAAGGAAAAGAAACUUACAAGGAUUUUCCUAGUAACGAUGAUCGAAUUGAUGAAAGCCCAACUUGAGAAUCGAAUGGCCCUACCAUUCGAAUUGUAGUCUGGAGAAACAUCCUCAAUGGUGGACCGAGCUCAAACCUUGUCGCAUGACGAGGCGCUAUUAACCAGUCAGAUUGUUUGGAAAUGUAGCCCAAUUGGGCUGUAAAUUUCAUCCAGUGCUAAAUACAGGUGAGAGACCGAUAGCAAAUAAGUACCAUGAGGGAAAGAUGAAAAGAACUUUGAAAAAAGAGUCAAAGAGUGCUUGAAAUUGUCUGAAGGGAAGCGAAUGGGGGUCGGUGAUGCAUCCCGAUAGGAUGUGGAAUGACGACGAGUCGAUCCGUCGAUCGACUCAGGGUGUGGACCAGCACAAAUUGAGGAGGUGACCAACGCUUAGGCAAUCGACAUGCCCAUGAAAUGUCGUCGUCCUGAUUAUGGGGGACAGCGCGUACCCUUAGCAUGCCUCAACACCUACGUACUCUCGGUGCUGGCCUACGGGCUCCCCAUUCGACUCAUCUUGAAAUACUGCCCAAGAAGUAUGACAUGUGUACGAGUCAAUGGCCGAGUAAACCCGUAAGGCGCAAGGAAGCUGAAUGGGGUGAUCCCUUCGAGGGGUGCAACACCGAUCGACCUUGAUCUUUUGAGAAGGGUUUAAGUGAGGGCAUACCUGUUAAGACCCAAAAGAUGGUGAACUACUCCUGAGAGGAUCGAAGCUAAAACAAAUUGGUGGAGGCCCAUAGUGAUACUAAUGUACAAAUCAUUCAUCUGACAUGGGUAUAGAGACGAAAGACUAAUCGAACCAUCUAGUGGCUGGUUCCCUCCGAAGUUUCCCUCAGGAUACCUGGAGCAAAAGCACGAGUUCGAUCAGAUAAAAUCAACGAUUAGAGGCAUCGAGGGCACAACAUCCUCAGCCUAUUCUCAAACUUUAAAUAGGUAGGACGAUGCGACUGCUUUGUUGAGCCGCUCCACAAAAUCGAGAGCUCUAAGUGGGUCAUUUUUGGUAAGUAGAACUGGCAAUGUGGGAUGAACAGAAAGUUCGUUUACGGUGCCCAACUGCAUGCAAACCUAGAUCCCACAAAGGGUGUUUGUCGAUUAAGACAGUAGGACGGUGGUCAUGGAAGUCAAAAUUCGCUAAGAAGUUUGUAACAACUCAUAUGUCGAAUCAACAAGCCCCAAAAAUGGAUGGUACUGAAGUGCGUGACUUAUACUCGAUGGUUGAUGACAAUGUUAGGGAGUCCGGAGACGUCGUCGAGGGCCUUAGAAAGAGUUAUCUUUUCUGUUUAAUAGCUUGUCCACCAUAGAAACGGCUCGAUCGGAGGUAGGGUUCAGUGACUGGAAAAGCAUCACACGUCUCAUGAUGUCCGGUGCGCCCCCGAUGACCCGUGAAAAUCCAGAAGACCGAGUACCAUCCGCACCCGAUCAUACUUAUAACUGCAUCAGGUCUCCAAGGUAAAAAACCUCUGGUCAAUGGAACAAUGUAGGCAAGAGAAGUCAGUAAAAUGGAUCCGUAAGCUCGGGAAAAGGAUUGGCUCUAAGGGCUGGGCAUCCUGAACCCAUUGACUGUCGAUGGACUAUUCGAUCUGCUCCCGCGAUGAGAGCGGGCCGAUGCGUGCCGACCGGGGGACGGACUGGGAACAUUUCCUUCGGGGGCCUUCUCCGAGCGUCGAACGAUCGACUAAGAACUAGUAUAGACAAGGGAAAUCCGACUGUUUAAUUAUAACAAAGGAUUGCGAUGGUCCCCAUGGAUGUUCACGCAACUUGAUUUCUGCCCAGUGCUCUGAAUGUCAAAGUGAAGAAAUUCAACCAAGCGCGGGUAAACGGCGGGAGUAACUAUGACUCUCCUAAGGUAGCCAAAUGCCUCAUCAUUUAAUUAGUGAUGCACAUGAAUGUAUUAAUGAGAUUUCCCACUGUCCCUGUCUACUAUCCAGCGAAACUACAGCCAAGGGAACGGGCUUGGCAGAAUCGACGGGGAAAGAAGACCCUAUUGUGCUUGACUCUAGUUUGACUUUGUAAAAUGACUUGAGAGGUGUAGAAUAAGUGGGAACCGAAAGGCGAAAGAUUAAUACCACUACUUUUAAAGUUAUUUUACUUAUUUCGUGAAUCGGACGCGGGCACUGCUCCUCUUUUUGGACCUAAGGCUCACUUCAUGGGCUGAUCUGGGUGGAAUACAUUGUCAGGUGGGGAGUUUGACUGGGAUGGCACAUCUAUUAAAAGAUAAUGCAGGUGUCCAAAGAUGAGCUCAAAGAGAACAGAAAUCUAGUUUGGAACAGAAGGGUAAAAGCUCAUUUAAUUCUGAUUUCUAGUACGAAUAUGAAUCAUGAAAGCAUGGCCUAACGAUCCUUUAGACCUUUGAAAUUUGAGACUAGAGGUGUCAAAAAAGUUACCACAGGGAAAACUGGCUUGUGGCAGCCAAGCGUUCAUAUCGACGUUGCUUUUUGAUCCUUCAAUGUUGGCUCUUCUUAUCAUUGUGAAGGAAAAUUCACCGAGUGUUGGAUUGUACACCCACCAUUAGGGAACGUGAGCUGGAUUAUGACUGAAUGCUUGAUAGAUUAGUUUUAUCCUACUGAUGAUAGGGUCGCAAUAGUAAUUCAACCUAGUACGAGAGGAACCAUUGAUUCGCACAAUUGGUCAUCACACUUGGUUGAAAAGCCAGUGGCAUGAAGCUACCGUGCGCUAGAUUAUGAUUGAAUGACUCUAAGUCAGAAUUCAGGCUAGAGGCGAUGCGUACACCCGUCGACCACUUUCUGACCCACAGUAGGGGCCUUACGGCCCCCAGGGGUACAUGUCAUUGGCCAAGCUCUC
RNAcentral lists this ribosomal RNA (2949 nucleotides) under Olea europaea subsp. europaea. Its description in RNAcentral is "LSU_rRNA_bacteria". It matches the Rfam family "Eukaryotic large subunit ribosomal RNA". The record is from RNAcentral. Lineage: Eukaryota; Viridiplantae; Streptophyta; Magnoliopsida; Lamiales; Oleaceae.